CUCACCCCUUCUGCCAUGUGGGGAUAUGAGAAGUGAGCAGUCUGAAACCUGGAAGAGGGUCUUCACCAGACAUUGACUCUGUCGGUACCUUGAUCUUGGACUUCCCGGCCUCCAGAGCCGUGAAUAAGAAAUUUCUGUGAUUUACGUGGUACUCAGUCUAUGAUAGUUUGUUACAGUAGCCUGAACGGACUAAGACACCAGGAAAUAAGAAGGAUUGUUGUCCUCCUAAAGAGUUGAGUACAUCUAUUUUGGAUACCGAAAGGCUUGUUUUCCUUCCUUCUACAUCUAUGGUCACCUUCUAACAUAUAUAAAAUCCUGGUGUGAAGGUCAUCUGUAACCUUGAUAGAGUGAUAUAUGUAGAGCAAUGGAGAUGAACGCUCACAGGAGAAUGAAAGAGAAGCCUGAAGACAGUCUCAUCUCUGGAUUUUCUGGUUAAGAACAGAUUCUUUUUUAACGAAGCUAUUUUGAAUUGGGUUUCUGUCUUGUGAUAGCAAAAGACAUCCAAUUAAUUUUUAAAGAAAGACACCAGGCUGAUUUCCAGUGUAACAGGUAUAAACAAUGAUAUGCUGGGCUUACAGAAAAAAACCUUUACAGGACUACAACAUAGAAAAACUCUGGUCACAGAAAGAAUUGCUUUUUCAUCAGAAUUGCUUAUCUUGUUUAUUAGUCCCAUUAUUGAAGUAUGCAACUUGGUAUUUGAACAAUUUGUCCCCCAUAUAGGUUUUGUUAAUGCUAUAUUAUAAAUCUCUCAGAGUUGUGACCAUUUUUUCUGUGUUUGGUUCAGUAAUAUCAUAUGAUUUAACUUCUGCAAUUCUGUAAGUAGUAAGCUAAUUGCUGACAAAAUAUGCAAAACUUUGUUUUAUGCUAUUUUAUAUUUCACAGCAAUAUCCCUGUUAACAUCUGUCAAAAAAGUGCUAUGGAAACUGAAACAUAACACACCAUAUUAUACAUGCAGAUUUAACAUUUUGCUUAGUAUUUUUUCUAGUGGAAGUUUUGUGCAUAUGUUCAGUUUUAUAUUCUUCUGUAUUUCAAUGUCUUAAUUUUCUUUUCAAUAAAAGAAGAAGUUACUUAAUAUGUUAACACUACACCAUCACACACAGGGAAUUUCUUUCAGAUUUAAAAAUAUUUUGGCAGUAUCAUUUUAGAAAAUAGAGUAUAUAGAAAAACACAGUUAAAGGAAAUAAUAUUCUAGAACACACUUUCACAUAUCUGGAAUUUAGAAAAAGAAGCUUUGAAUAUUAAAAAUUCAUAAUUAUCUAGAAAAUAUUUGGAUUAUUAAGAAGAUUGUGUCACUCAGAAAAGGACCACAAGUCCUUUAAUAGGCAAGAUGACCUUUAACCUUUAGGCUUUUAUUGAAAUUACUACGUAGUGAUAUAAGAAUCAGAGUAACAACCUUUGAUAUUUCACUUUAAAAUAAGAAGCAGGUAGAAGAGGGUAAACAAAUUAGAUUUAUAGAAAAAUCAUUUAAAAUUAUUUAAUUGAGUGCAUUAAGUGAUUUAACCUGAGAUAUUUAUCGAUCACUGAGUUGAGCUGUUAACGGAUUAGGUGUUAACACUGCACUUUUCAGCAAAGGUCAAAACUGCCAUGCUGCAGGUCACUUCAGCCAGUUUUAGAUCUUUUUGGAAGACGAGAAAAUGAAGCUGGCGGAAUGGUCUGGAUUGGAUUACCCAUCUGGUGAGUCACAAAGCAUACCACAUAGACUAUUUAUUGUACUGCCAUGCAGUAUUUUUAAAAUUAGCAAGAUUACAAUUUUGCUUCAAAAAUAUUAAAUCACAGUUGUUCGAACACUAUCUCUUGAUUUUCAGGAAAAAAAAAUCUAUUCUAUUGCAUUGCACUUAAAUUGUGGUUUAAACUGCUUGAUGCCUUAUUUUAUUUUUCCUAAGUGGUUUCAUACCUAUUUUUAAUUUUCUCUAAAGAUUCAAUUCUGGUUCUUCAGAGCAGAAACCUUGCCUUCUAUGCACUCAUAUAACACACAGAGGGCAAUAAGCCAUGCUUUUAACACAAUAUUAAAAAUCUCCUUGUAAAUAUUGGGUAGUAGGCAGAAUCCUAAGAUGGCCCCUAGAUUCCCACCCAUUGGUAUAUAUGAUCUGUGUGACUCCCAAGCAGACAGGACCUGUGGAUAUGAUGGGCUAUCUGUCUCUUGAUUAGUUUGUGCUGAAAAAAGGCUCUGUUGUAACAGAUGGCAGGGAGAUUCUCCUGCUGGCUUUAGGGAAGUUGCUAAAUUUUGACAGGGCCUCGUGCCUAGGAGCGAGUGUUGCCUCUAGAAGCUGAGAGCAGUCCCUGGGGACCUCAGUCCUACAGCUACAAGGGACUGAAUUCUGCCAACAACCUGGAUGAGCUUGGAAGAGGACCCUGAGCCCCAGGUGGGAACGCAGCCCAGGCCAAUAUCUUGGUUGCAUCCAUGUUAGACCCUGAGCAGAGAACCCAGUGACACUGUGUCUGGACGUCUGACCUACAGAUACCAUGAGACAAUGAUACAACAGUAGGCCUCACGUGAUUAACCUCAAAAUAAGCUAUCAAGACAGUAAUUGUAAUGGAAACAUGGCAAAUGGAAGCUGACUUCCAGUGUGUUAAGGCAACAUUCUGUAAGUGCUGCCUACCUGAGCCACUUCUCCAUUUACACCUGUGUUUUCUUAGUUCAGAUAUAUAUCUUAAAAAAUUCCUGAAAGAAUUCUUCAUUCCCAAGAAUCCAUAAUGAAAAUAAAACAUUUUUUAUAAAUGACUGAUUUUAUAAAAUGACCUAUGUGCCAUUAAAUACUUUCCCAAUGUAUUUGCAUAUUUUCUUGACUAUAAUAAUAUGUUUUACCAGGUUUGUUCUUGAAAUUGGGGUGCAAUGCCUUGAACUGAUGUCGGAAAAAACUUGCUCCCUGAAGGCAGAGAACUGAGUGGUUUUGUAGCUGUCAUUGCCUGCACAUGGGCAAACUUAGCCUUGUAGGUAUUUUAUAUUUAUACAGUUGUCAGCCCAUUUGAGUU
Long non-coding RNA from Equus caballus (horse), 2973 nucleotides. The record is from Ensembl. Lineage: Eukaryota; Metazoa; Chordata; Mammalia; Perissodactyla; Equidae.